Long non-coding RNA from Equus caballus (horse), 229 nucleotides. RefSeq lists it as uncharacterized. NCBI's taxonomy places the organism in Eukaryota, Metazoa, Chordata, Mammalia, Perissodactyla, Equidae. The record is from RefSeq and is a predicted model, not a curated record.
AUCCAGUCUCUCUUCCUGCUGGGCCUUCAGCAGCCCGAAGGCUUUUCCUCCUGAGGGUGCACAAAGUAAAAUCUACAGAGCUCAGAAAUUCGAGAAUUUUAGUAGAUUCUUUGGAGGAACUGAAAGUGGUGCUGAGAGAGACAGCAUUUGUGGACACAAGAGCUAGCGGAAUCCGCUGUCCUCCAUGGAGACAGACACCGUCAAGGACAAGCACCUGGACCAUCUCCUC